UAGCGGACGGGUGAGUAAUGUCUGGGAAACUGCCCGAUGGAGGGGGAUAACUACUGGAAACGGUAGCUAAUACCGCAUAACGUCGCAAGACCAAAGAGGGGGACCUUCGGGCCUCUUGCCAUCGGAUGUGCCCAGAUGGGAUUAGCUAGUAGGUGGGGUAACGGCUCACCUAGGCGACGAUCCCUAGCUGGUCUGAGAGGAUGACCAGCCACACUGGAACUGAGACACGGUCCAG
This 235-nucleotide ribosomal RNA is filed under the name uncultured bacterium. RNAcentral's name for it is "partial 16S ribosomal RNA". It matches the Rfam family "Bacterial small subunit ribosomal RNA", at positions 96 to 334 of the family's 1533-position model. The record is from RNAcentral.